This is a non-coding RNA of Coregonus clupeaformis (lake whitefish), 76 nucleotides long. The record is from the annotation of a RefSeq genome assembly. NCBI's taxonomy places the organism in Eukaryota, Metazoa, Chordata, Actinopteri, Salmoniformes, Salmonidae.
GGUCCUGUGUGGCUCAGUUGGUAGAGCAUGGCGCUAGCAACUCCAAGGGUCGUGGGUUCGAGUCCCGCUGGGGCCA